GAUGAACGCUAGCUACAGACUUAACACAUGCAAGUCGAGGGGCAGCGGGAUUGAAGCUUGCUUCAAUUGCCGGCGACCGGCGCACGGGUGAGUAACGCGUAUCCAACCUUCCGCUUACUCGGGGAUAGCCUUUCGAAAGAAAGAUUAAUACCCGAUGGUAUCUUAAGCACGCAUGAGAUUAAGAUUAAAGAUUUAUCGGUAAGCGAUGGGGAUGCGUUCCGUUAGGCAGUUGGCGGGGUAACGGCCCACCAAACCUACGAUGGAUAGGGGUUCUGAGAGGAAGGUCCCCCACAUUGGAACUGAGACACGGUCCAAACUCCUACGGGAGGCAGCAGUGAGGAAUAUUGGUCAAUGGGCGAGAGCCUGAACCAGCCAAGUAGCGUGAAGGAUGACGGCCCUACGGGUUGUAAACUUCUUUUGUGCGGGAAUAAAGGAACCUACGUGUAGGUUUUUGCAUGUACCGUAACGAAUAAGCAUCGGCUAACUCCGUGCCAGCCGCCGCGGUAA
Molecule: ribosomal RNA, 507 nt
Filed under: uncultured bacterium
Lineage: Bacteria
Description: partial 16S ribosomal RNA
Rfam family: Bacterial small subunit ribosomal RNA
Source: RNAcentral